UCCCAGGUGGCUCAGUGGUAAAGAAUCCGCCUGUAAUGCAGGAGACCCAGGUUUGAUCCCUGGGUUGGGAA
Molecule: transfer RNA, 71 nt
Filed under: Bos taurus (domestic cattle)
Lineage: Eukaryota; Metazoa; Chordata; Mammalia; Artiodactyla; Bovidae
Also listed under: 2 other names
Rfam family: tRNA
About the family: Transfer RNA (tRNA) molecules are approximately 80 nucleotides in length. Their secondary structure includes four short double-helical elements and three loops (D, anti-codon, and T loops). Further hydrogen bonds mediate the characteristic L-shaped molecular structure. tRNAs have two regions of fundamental functional importance: the anti-codon, which is responsible for specific mRNA codon recognition, and the 3' end, to which the tRNAs corresponding amino acid is attached (by aminoacyl-tRNA synthetases). tRNAs cope with the degeneracy of the genetic code in two manners: having more than one tRNA (with a specific anti-codon) for a particular amino acid; and 'wobble' base-pairing, i.e. permitting non-standard base-pairing at the 3rd anti-codon position.
Source: Rfam by way of RNAcentral